GGGUUUUUAAUUUAACAUAAAAUGUAGGCUUUACUGCUCUAAAUAUCAGAUUAAAGUCCUGAAAAUUUCA
Molecule: transfer RNA, 70 nt
Filed under: Lophophysema eversa
Lineage: Eukaryota; Metazoa; Porifera; Hexactinellida; Amphidiscosida; Hyalonematidae
Description: tRNA-Val
Source: RNAcentral